Molecule: ribosomal RNA, 305 nt
Filed under: uncultured bacterium
Lineage: Bacteria
Description: bacterial SSU rRNA
Rfam family: Bacterial small subunit ribosomal RNA
Source: RNAcentral
GGUGUCCUACGGGACGCAGCAGUGGGGGAUAUUGCACAAUGGGGGGAACCCUGAUGCAGCGACGCCGCGUGGGUGAAGAAGCGCCUCGGCGCGUAAAGCCCUGUCAGCAGGGAAGAAAAUGACGGUACCUGAAGAAGAAGCCCCGGCUAACUACGUGCCAGCAGCCGCGGUAAUACGUAGGGGGCAAGCGUUAUCCGGAUUUACUGGGUGUAAAGGGAGCGUAGGCGGCGAUGCAAGUCAGAAGUGAAAGCCCGGGGCUCAACUCCGGGACUGCUUUUGAAACUGUGUUGCUAGAUUGCAGGAGG